Molecule: ribosomal RNA, 1222 nt
Filed under: Curtobacterium oceanosedimentum
Lineage: Bacteria; Bacillati; Actinomycetota; Actinomycetes; Micrococcales; Microbacteriaceae
Description: bacterial SSU rRNA
Rfam family: Bacterial small subunit ribosomal RNA
Source: RNAcentral
GACGAACGCUGGCGGCGUGCUUAACACAUGCAAGUCGAACGAUGAUGCCCAGCUUGCUGGGUGGAUUAGUGGCGAACGGGUGAGUAACACGUGAGUAACCUGCCCCUGACUCUGGGAUAAGCGUUGGAAACGACGUCUAAUACUGGAUACGACUGCCGGCCGCAUGGUCUGGUGGUGGAAAGAUUUUUUGGUUGGGGAUGGACUCGCGGCCUAUCAGCUUGUUGGUGAGGUAAUGGCUCACCAAGGCGACGACGGGUAGCCGGCCUGAGAGGGUGACCGGCCACACUGGGACUGAGACACGGCCCAGACUCCUACGGGAGGCAGCAGUGGGGAAUAUUGCACAAUGGGCGAAAGCCUGAUGCAGCAACGCCGCGUGAGGGAUGACGGCCUUCGGGUUGUAAACCUCUUUUAGUAGGGAAGAAGCGAAAGUGACGGUACCUGCAGAAAAAGCACCGGCUAACUACGUGCCAGCAGCCGCGGUAAUACGUAGGGUGCAAGCGUUGUCCGGAAUUAUUGGGCGUAAAGAGCUCGUAGGCGGUUUGUCGCGUCUGCUGUGAAAUCCCGAGGCUCAACCUCGGGCUUGCAGUGGGUACGGGCAGACUAGAGUGCGGUAGGGGAGAUUGGAAUUCCUGGUGUAGCGGUGGAAUGCGCAGAUAUCAGGAGGAACACCGAUGGCGAAGGCAGAUCUCUGGGCCGUAACUGACGCUGAGGAGCGAAAGCGUGGGGAGCGAACAGGAUUAGAUACCCUGGUAGUCCACGCCGUAAACGUUGGGCGCUAGAUGUAGGGACCUUUCCACGGUUUCUGUGUCGUAGCUAACGCAUUAAGCGCCCCGCCUGGGGAGUACGGCCGCAAGGCUAAAACUCAAAGGAAUUGACGGGGGCCCGCACAAGCGGCGGAGCAUGCGGAUUAAUUCGAUGCAACGCGAAGAACCUUACCAAGGCUUGACAUACACCGGAAACGGCCAGAGAUGGUCGCCCCCUUGUGGUCGGUGUACAGGUGGUGCAUGGUUGUCGUCAGCUCGUGUCGUGAGAUGUUGGGUUAAGUCCCGCAACGAGCGCAACCCUCGUUCUAUGUUGCCAGCGCGUUAUGGCGGGGACUCAUAGGAGACUGCCGGGGUCAACUCGGAGGAAGGUGGGGAUGACGUCAAAUCAUCAUGCCCCUUAUGUCUUGGGCUUCACGCAUGCUACAAUGGCCGGUACAAAGGGCUGCGAUACCGUAAGG